Molecule: ribosomal RNA, 253 nt
Filed under: uncultured bacterium
Lineage: Bacteria
Description: partial 16S ribosomal RNA
Rfam family: Bacterial small subunit ribosomal RNA
Source: RNAcentral
UACGGGGGGGCAAGCGGUUGUUCGGAAUUACUGGGCGUAAAGGGUUCGUAGGCGGUGCGGUAAGUCGGAAGUGAAAUCUCCAGGCUCAACUUGGAGGCUGCUCCCGAAACUGCCGUGCUAGAGUACGGGAGAGGCGAGUGGAAUUGCAGGUGUAGCGGUGAAAUGCGUAGAUAUCUGCAGGAACACCCGUGGCGAAGGCGGCUCGCUGGACCGUAACUGACGCUGAGGAACGAAAGCUAGGGGAGCAAACAGG